RNAcentral lists this ribosomal RNA (280 nucleotides) under uncultured bacterium. RNAcentral describes it as "partial 16S ribosomal RNA". It matches the Rfam family "Bacterial small subunit ribosomal RNA", at positions 74 to 353 of the family's 1533-position model. The record is from RNAcentral.
ACUUGCUUUCUUUGCUGGCGACCGGCGCACGGGUGAGUAACACGUAUCCAACCUACCCUUUACUCGGGGAUGGCCUUUCGAAAGAAAGAUUAAUACCCGAUGGCAUAGUUCUUCCGCAUGGUAGAACUAUUAAAGAAUUUCGGUCAUCGAUGGGGAUGCGUUCCAUUAGGUUGUUGGCGGGGUAACGGCCCACCAAGCCUUCGAUGGAUAGGGGUUCUGAGAGGAAGGUCCCCCACAUUGGAACUGAGACACGGUCCAAACUCCUACGGGAGGCAGCAUG